UAACUCCUUUAUCUCUACUGAAGUCUGGCAGCACUAUCAUCAUUCAUUUGUACUGGUGUGGUGAUCCAGAAGACACCUUGUCAACCUCAAUGAUGCUGUUGGGGCAGCAUAAACAAGGCACUCCUGUUUCUGAAACAGUCCCCUGUCACAUGCAGAGCAGCUGAUGGAACAGAGAACCACCUUUGUACACGCUCAGUGCCACCCAUGGAUACACACUGCUGCUGGAGCCUGGUGCUGCUGGAGAGGUUACAUGGGACUGGAUGAGCUUUGCAACUUGGCUGAGAUACUGUGGCUUUAUGACUGCAUAAAGGAAGUCCAGGAGCUUGUCUCUCACCAUCAAGUCAAGUCUCAUGUUCCACUCCAGAAGGAAUUUCUUCUGUUGGAAUGGCCCAAAUCAGGGUUUGGAGGUGAUUUAAA
Long non-coding RNA from Pseudopodoces humilis (Tibetan ground-tit), 417 nucleotides. RefSeq lists it as uncharacterized. NCBI's taxonomy places the organism in Eukaryota, Metazoa, Chordata, Aves, Passeriformes, Paridae. The record is from RefSeq and is a predicted model, not a curated record.